AAUGAACGCUGGCGGCAGGCCUAACACAUGCAAGUCGAACGGAUCCUUCGGGAUUAGUGGCGGACGGGUGAGUAACGCGUGGGAACAUACCCAAAAGUACGGAAUAGCCUCGGGAAAAUGGGAGUAAAACUGUAUGUGCCCGAAAGAGGAACGAUUUUUCGCCUUUGGAUUGGCCCGCGUGUGAGUAGGUAGAGGGUGAGGUAAUGGCCUACGAAGCCGUCGAUCCAUAGCUGGUGUGAGAGGAUGAUCAGCCACACUGGGAGUGAGACACGGGCCAGACUCCUACGGGAGGCGGCAGUGGGGAAUCUUAGACAAUGGUGGAAACCCUGAUCUAGUCAUGCCGCGUGAUCGAUGAAGGCCUUAGGGUUGUAAAGAUCUUUCAGGUGGGAAGAUAAUGACUGUACCACCAGAAGAAGCCCCGGCUAACUCCGUGCCAGCCGCCGCCGUAA
Molecule: ribosomal RNA, 449 nt
Filed under: uncultured bacterium
Lineage: Bacteria
Description: partial 16S ribosomal RNA
Rfam family: Bacterial small subunit ribosomal RNA
Source: RNAcentral